Rhagoletis zephyria (snowberry fruit fly) is the source of this 100-nucleotide long non-coding RNA. RefSeq lists it as uncharacterized. The record is from RefSeq and is a predicted model, not a curated record. NCBI's taxonomy places the organism in Eukaryota, Metazoa, Arthropoda, Insecta, Diptera, Tephritidae.
AUGUAUGUAUGUAGUAUAUAAACACCCUGAAGGAAAGAUUGGUCCAAUUGCUCGAAAAAUAUAGUCGUAGGUAUAAUAGCUUUGUAUCUAGACUAAAGAU